ACUCCUACGGGAGGCAGCAGUGGGGAAUAUUGCACAAUGGGCGCAAGCCUGAUGCAGCAACGCCGCGUGAGGGACGAAGGCCUUCGGGUUGUAAACCUCUUUUAGUAGGGAAGAAGCGAUAGUGACGGUACCUGCAGAAAAAGCACCGGCUAACUACGUGCCAGCAGCCGCGGUAAUACGUAGGGUGCAAGCGUUAUCCGGAAUUAUUGGGCGUAAAGAGCUCGUAGGCGGUUUGUCGCGUCUGCUGUGAAAACUGGAGGCUCAACCUCCAGCCUGCAGUGGGUACGGGCAGACUAGAGUGCGGUAGGGGAGAUUGGAAUUCCUGGUGUAGCGGUGGAAUGCGCAGAUAUCAGGAGGAACACCGAUGGCGAAGGCAGAUCUCUGGGCCGUAACUGACGCUGAGGAGCGAAAGCAUGGGGAGCGAACAGGAUUAGAUACCCUGGUAGUCCAUGCCGUAAACGUUGGGAACUAGAUGUAGGGACCAUUCCACGGUUUCUGUGUCGCAGCUAACGCAUUAAGUUCCCCGCCUGGGGAGUACGGCCGCAAGGCUAAAACUCACAGGAAUUGACGGGGGCCCGCACAAGCGGCGGAGCAUGCGGAUUAAUUCGAUGCAACGCGAAGAACCUUACCAAGGCUUGACAUAUGCGAGAACGGGCCAGAAAUGGUCAACUCUUUGGACACUCGUAAACAGGUGGUGCAUGGUUUGUCGUCAGCUCGUGUC
This 721-nucleotide ribosomal RNA is filed under the name uncultured bacterium. Its description in RNAcentral is "bacterial SSU rRNA". It matches the Rfam family "Bacterial small subunit ribosomal RNA", at positions 335 to 1066 of the family's 1533-position model. The record is from RNAcentral.